GAUGAAGAACGUAGCGAAAUGCGAUAAGUAAUGUGAAUUGCAGAAUUCAGUGAAUCAUCGAAUCUUUGAACGCACCUUGCACCCUUUGGCAUUCCGAAGCGUAUGCUCGUUUGAGUGUCAUUGUACUCUCACACUCUCCGAUCCUAUGGAUUCGGGGAGCGGUGGACUUGGGUGUUGCUGCCUUUCCUUGUGGCUCACCUCAAAUGUGUCAGUGCACCUCUUGGUUGGACAUAGUACGGCGUGAUAAGUGUCUUCGCCGGCACCUCGCAAGAGGGUGGCCGAUCGGGAGCUCUGUGCUUUCAAACCGUCUUCGGACAAUUUCUGACAACUUGACCUCAAAUCGAGUAGGACUACCCGCUGAACUUAAGCAUAUCAAUAAGCGGAGGA
RNAcentral lists this unclassified non-coding RNA (387 nucleotides) under soil metagenome. RNAcentral describes it as "partial contains 5.8S ribosomal RNA, internal transcribed spacer 2, and large subunit ribosomal RNA". The stretch from base 1 to 120 matches the Rfam family "5.8S ribosomal RNA", at positions 35 to 154 of the family's 154-position model. The record is from RNAcentral.